Molecule: long non-coding RNA, 1524 nt
Filed under: Chrysolophus pictus (golden pheasant)
Lineage: Eukaryota; Metazoa; Chordata; Aves; Galliformes; Phasianidae
Description: lncRNA (ENSCPIG00010000003.1)
Source: RNAcentral
AUGGGUGUAGUCGUGGAGGUCCUAAAAGGUGUAGUCAUGGAGGACCGAAAAGGUGUAGUCAUGGAGGUGCCAAUGGGUGUACCUGUGGAGAUCCCAUUGGGUGUCACCAUGGAGAUCCUAAAAGGUGUAGUCAUGGAGGACCCAAAAAACGUAGUCAUGGAGGACCGAAAAGGUGCUGUCGUGGAGGACCCAAUGGGUGUCACCAUGGAGGUCUUGAGGGGUGUAGUCAUGGAGAUCCUGAAAGGUGUAGUCUUAGAGGAGCCAAUGGGUGUAGCCAUGGAGGGCCCAAUAGGUGUAACUGUGGAGAUCCCAUUGGGUGUCACCAUGGAGAUCCUAAAAGGUGUAGUCAUGGAGGACCUAAAAGGUGUAGUCAUGGAGAUCCUAAAAGGUGUAGUCAUGGAGGACCCAAGAAGUGUAGUCAUGGAGGUCAACAUGAGCGUAGUCAUGGAGGUCCCAAAGGGUGUCAUCAUGGAGAUCUUGAGAGGUGUUACUGUGGAGGACCCAAAAGGUGUAAUCAUGGAGGACCCAGUGGGUGUAGCCAUGGAGGUCUUGGGGAGUGUAACUGUGGAGGACCCAAUGGGUGUAACUUUGGAGGUCUUGAGGAGUGUAACUGUGGAGAUCCUAAAAGGUGUAGUCAUGGAGAUCCUAAAAGGUGUAGUAAUGGAGGACCCAAUGGAUGUAGCCAUGGAGAUCCUAAAAGGUGUAGUCGUGGAGGACCCAAGAAGUGUAGUCAUAGAGGUCAAAAUGGGUGUAGUCAUGGAGGUCUCGAGAGGUGUUACCAUGGAGGACCCAAAAGGUGUAGUCAUGAAGGACCCAAUGGGUGUAGCCAUGGGGGUCCCAGAAAGUGUAGUAAUGGAGGACUCAAUGGGUGUAACCGUGGAGGACCCAAAAGCUGCAGUCAUGGAGGUCACAAAAAAUGUAGUCAUGGAGGACCCAAUGGGUGUAACCAUGGAGGUCCUAAUGGGUGUCACCACGGAGAUCCCUUUGGGUGUCACCAUGGAGGACCCAAUGGAUGUCACCAUGGAGAUCCCUUUGGGUGUCACCACGGAGAUCCCUUUGGGUGUCACCAUGGAGGACCCAAUGGAUGUCACCAUGGAGAUCCCUUUGGGUGUCACCACGGAGAUCCCUUUGGGUGUCACCAUGGAGAUCCCAGUGGGUGUCACCACAGCGAUCCCAUGGGGUGGUGCUGUCUGUGGGUCUGGCAGCAGAGAUCCCAAAGGUCACAACCCCACAUAUCCCUAUAGGUGUGACUGUGGAGAUCCCACGGGAUCCAAAGGAGGGCAUCUGGGCCACCCCAACGGAGCCACCCACGGGUGCCCCAAAGGAGGGGGCCUGGAUCACCCCAACAGAGCCAUCCAAGGACAACCGAAGGGACACGGUCAUCGACAUCCCCAGGGAUGGGGUGAAGGACACCGCAUGGGACCCAACAACCACCAACACCCCAUGGCGUGGGGUCAAGGACACCCCAAAGGACCCAACCAUGGAGACCCCAACGGAUUCAACCACGCACACCCCGAGGGUUGA